GAAUUAGCACCAAUCUUUCACAAACUCUUCCAAAAAAUUGAAGAGGAAGGAACACUUUCACAUUGAUUUUAUGAGGCCAAUAUUACCUGAUACCAAAGCCAGACAAAAACGCCAAAAAAAGACAUC
Molecule: long non-coding RNA, 126 nt
Organism: Lynx canadensis (Canada lynx)
Lineage: Eukaryota; Metazoa; Chordata; Mammalia; Carnivora; Felidae
Exons: 3
Source: RefSeq, a predicted model, not a curated record